This 527-nucleotide small RNA is filed under the name Pongo abelii (Sumatran orangutan). RNAcentral describes it as "retained intron". Lineage: Eukaryota; Metazoa; Chordata; Mammalia; Primates; Hominidae. The record is from RNAcentral.
UUGUGGGUUGCUGGGUGGCCCGGUCUCGUAGAAGAGGGGAGAGUGGCGGGCCGCUGAAUAAGCUUCCAAAAUGAUGCCCACACCAGUUAUCCUAUUGAAAGAGGGGACUGAUAGCUCCCAAGGCAUCCCCCAGCUUGUGAGUAACAUCAGUGCCUGCCAGGUGAUUGCUGAGGCUGUAAGAACUACCCUGGGUCCCCGUGGCAUGGACAAGCUUAUUGUAGAUGGCAGAGGCAAAGCAACAAUUUCUAAUGAUGGGGCCACAAUUCUGAAACUUCUUGAUGUUGUCCAUCCUGCAGCAAAGACUUUGGUAGACAUUGCCAAAUCUCAAGAUGCUGAGGUGGGUGAUGGCACCACCUCAGUGACCUUGCUGGCUGCAGAGUUUCUGAAGCAGGUGAAACCCUAUGUGGAGGAAGGUUUACACCCCCAGAUCAUCAUUCGAGCUUUCCGCACAGCCACCCAGCUGGUAUGGCAGUACUGAUUAACCUUCUCUUGGGCCUGGACACCUUCACAUUUCUCUCAGGAAGGGG